GAUGAAGAACGUAGCGAAAUGCGAUAAGUAAUGUGAAUUGCAGAAUUCAGUGAAUCAUCGAAUCUUUGAACGCACCUUGCGCCCUUUGGCCAUUCCGAAGGGCAUGCCUGUUUGAGUAUCAUGAACACCUCAACUCUUUAUGGUUUUCCAUGAUGAGCUUGGACUUUGUGGGUUUUGCUGGCCUAUGGUCGGCUCCUCUAAAAUAAAUCAGCUUACCAGUGUUUGGUGGGUAUCAUGGGUGUGAUAACUAUCUACGCUUGUGGUUUUUCCGCCAGGUAACCUUCGACAGCGGAGGUUCACUGGAGCUCAUAGAUGUCUCUCCUCAGCGAGGACAGCCCUUUGAAUGUUUGAUCUCAAAUCAGGUAGGACUACCCGCUGAACUUAAGCAUAUCAAUAAGCGGAGGA
Molecule: unclassified non-coding RNA, 405 nt
Filed under: soil metagenome
Description: partial contains 5.8S ribosomal RNA, internal transcribed spacer 2, and large subunit ribosomal RNA
Rfam family: 5.8S ribosomal RNA (bases 1-121)
Source: RNAcentral